CAGGUGCGUAUUUUAAGAUUGUUGCAGUUAAAAAGCUCGUAGUUGGAUGUGAAGAUAGAAUUGAAGCGAUAGCUGAGAUUCUAUCUAUGUGAUUGAAUGAUCUUACGAUCAUCCAAUCAAUGUACUUUGAGAAAAAGAAAGCGUUUCAGGCGGGCUUCCUACGCCCACAUACAACAGCAUGGAAUACUCUUACCACUCUUGAUAAGAUCUGGACAUUAUGAGGAAAUGAUUUGUAGGGACAGUUGGGGGUGCUGGUAUUGCUGGAGGACAGGUGAAAUUGUGUGAUUCUGGCAAGACGACCUAUAGCGAAAGCAUUCACCAAGGAUGUCUUCUGUGA
RNAcentral lists this ribosomal RNA (337 nucleotides) under uncultured eukaryote. RNAcentral describes it as "partial 18S ribosomal RNA". It matches the Rfam family "Eukaryotic small subunit ribosomal RNA", at positions 592 to 976 of the family's 1831-position model. The record is from RNAcentral.